Molecule: ribosomal RNA, 517 nt
Filed under: uncultured Hanseniaspora
Lineage: Eukaryota; Fungi; Ascomycota; Saccharomycetes; Saccharomycodales; Saccharomycodaceae
Description: eukaryotic LSU rRNA
Rfam family: Eukaryotic large subunit ribosomal RNA
Source: RNAcentral
AAACCAACCGGGAUUGCCUCAGUAACGGCGAGUGAAGCGGCAAAAGCUCAAAUUUGAAAUCUGGCACUUUCAGUGUCCGAGUUGUAAUUUGUAGAAGUAGUUUUGGGACUGGUCCUUAUCUAUGUUUCUUGGAACAGGACGUCAUAGAGGGUGAGAACCCCGUAUGAUGAGGCCCCCAGUCCUUUGUAAAACGCUUUCGAAGAGUCGAGUUGUUUGGGAAUGCAGCUCUAAGUGGGUGGUAAAUUCCAUCUAAAGCUAAAUAUUGGCGAGAGACCGAUAGCGAACAAGUACAGUGAUGGAAAGAUGAAAAGAACUUUGAAAAGAGAGUGAAAAAGUACGUGAAAUUGUUGAAAGGGAAGGGCAUUUGAUCAGACAUGGUGUUUUGCGCCCUUUGCUCCUUGUGGGCGAGGAUACGCAGCUCACUGGGCCAACAUCAGUUUUGGGAGCAGGAUAAAUCUGUAGGAACGUAGCUUUCUUCGGGAAGUGUUAUAGCCUAUGGGAAUACUGCUACCUGGGA